Long non-coding RNA from Felis catus (domestic cat), 390 nucleotides. RefSeq lists it as uncharacterized. NCBI's taxonomy places the organism in Eukaryota, Metazoa, Chordata, Mammalia, Carnivora, Felidae. The transcript is spliced from 2 exons. The record is from RefSeq and is a predicted model, not a curated record.
CAUGGAAUGUACCGGCCUCCUGAUGUCAGAUCUGGGAGAAACCGAGGAGCUGAAAACAAAGAAGACAUCCAACUCCAGUGGGUCCCUCCCAGAGCACGUGAAGUGGGAUGGCUCAAACUGAGGACAAAGUUUUCAUUCUACAUUGGAGAUGAAUCCUAAAAUGCAACUGCUCCUGAGGGGACACACGACAACUCCGGCAACUUUAUAUCAAGAUGCAAAUGGCUCAUGUGAGUUGGAAAGAGGGGAACACCAAGAGCUCAGGGCAAGGCUGCCACAGGGACCGCGGGUGGGAGUGGCAGGCGUCCGGAGCAAACUCUGCCACCCGCACGGAUGUACCAAAGGAAACCAUGUAGUCAGCUUUGAAAAUAAAAGUCCAGGCAAUCUACGCUU